UACGUAGGGUGCAAGCGCUGUCCGGAAUUAUUGGGCGUAAAGAGCUCGUAGGCGGCCUGUCGCGUCGGAUGUGAAAAUCCAAGGCUCAACCUUGGACCUGCAUUCGAUACGGGCAGGCUAGAGUUCGGUAGGGGAGACUGGAAUUCCUGGUGUAGCGGUGAAAUGCGCAGAUAUCAGGAAGAACACCGGUGGCGAAGGCGGCUCUCUGGGCCCUACCUGACGCUGAGACGCGAAAGCGUGGGGAGCGAACCGG
RNAcentral lists this ribosomal RNA (253 nucleotides) under uncultured bacterium. RNAcentral's name for it is "partial 16S ribosomal RNA". It matches the Rfam family "Bacterial small subunit ribosomal RNA", at positions 524 to 776 of the family's 1533-position model. The record is from RNAcentral.